Molecule: non-coding RNA, 45 nt
Organism: Schistosoma curassoni
Lineage: Eukaryota; Metazoa; Platyhelminthes; Trematoda; Strigeidida; Schistosomatidae
Source: Rfam
AUUCAGCAGACGAGUCCCAAAUAGGACGAAACACACCUCCUGGAU